This 10544-nucleotide long non-coding RNA is filed under the name Brassica napus (rape). RNAcentral's name for it is "long non-coding RNA (BNAP_LNC001338)". Lineage: Eukaryota; Viridiplantae; Streptophyta; Magnoliopsida; Brassicales; Brassicaceae. The record is from RNAcentral.
CAUUUUCUUAUGCUGUUUGUAAUGCUGGGUUUCUCGGUAGUGUUCGACUCAGUGAAAGCUCCGGGUCUAGGAUUAGGGGCACGAUACAUUUUCACCAUGGGACUGGGCCGUCUUUUAAGAGCUAUAACCUUCGUUUCUACCAUCUUACCUUCAGCUAGACCUUGGUGCGCUUCAGCCCGAUUCAACAACGUCCCUUCUCAUCCUCAUCGUUGGGCUCAGAAGUAUUAUGUCCCUUAUGCUAAAGACCCUUCUGCUAUUCGCCAGCUCCUCCAUUGGGAUGCUGCUUACGGUAACAUCUCGUCUCACUUCACUUUACUAAAUUCUCUGAAUUUGUUUUAUUAUUUAUCUGAUCUAAAUGAUUUUUAAAGUCAAUUUUUGUUGUAUUAACAGCUGAUCCUGGAAACUACAUUGGUGACUACAGAGCUGACUGGGGUCCAAUGAGCUUCCUCAGCGACUUCUUGAGACCGAGUUACUCUGAAGGGUCUUCGUGGUUUGCUUUACUAAAGAAAGCGGGAGGUGGCUGUAAUGACCUCUUGUACAGUGGCCACAUGCUUGUAGCUGUCCUAACCGCUAUGGCUUGGACGGUAUAUAUAUAUAUAUUUAUCCUUUUCUUCCUCCCAUUCCACUUUUCAGCUAAUUUCGUAACCUUUCUGUCUGUGGUAAAAUCAUCAACAGGAGGCUUAUGGAGGUUUCUCUUCGGCGUUGAUAUGGUUGCUUGUGGCACACAGCGCACAGAGGGAAAUAAGAGAGCGCCACCACUAUUCAGUAGACUGCGUUGUGGCGAUUUACGUUGGUAUCCUUCUUUGGAAAAUGACUGGUUUUAUUUGGUCUAAUAAGAGGAAGUCGAAGCAGACAGUGAGACUAGAGAAGAUUCAGAACGGGCUUAUUCACGCUGCCAAGGAUUCGGAUAUGGAGACUGUUAGGAGACUUGUGGAGGAGAUGGAGGUAAGCCUCGGGGAAGAGAAGCAGAGUGGAGUUGUCUCCAAGAGGGCAAUGACAGUGUUUGCGUGUGCCACAGUGAUCACAACACUUGGUAUAGUGGUUCUGGCUUUAACUUUGACAAGCGACGGUUGAUAAUAUGGAUUCUUAGUCUUCUCCACGGUUACAUGCCUUUAUUUUAAUCUCUACUUUGUUGUAUUUUCUUGUCCUAAAACCACGAUUAUUAGCUAAAAGUGUAGUGUUAAUUUCUUGUCCUUUUGGUUUAUCAGUGAUCCGUUACUUUUUUGGUAUUGGGGUUUUACCCGUCCCUGGUGUGGAUAAAAAUUAGGAGGAUGGACUUUUGCAAUAUUCUAUCCACCAACAAUUUCGAACUAGCCUAUACAUAAGAAUGCUCCGGCAAAAUGUUGAGUACAAGGUCGAUUGAAGUAAGUGGUUCAGGAAUAAAAAAACAUUAGGUGAUUGUUAUCCUACUUGUUAGAAAAAAAACAUUUGUAACAUUAGAUUUGUUUAACUUCUGAUUCUAGGAACUCUAUUUAUUUUUUAGAUUAACUUAAAAGAGUCCAUAUGUUAAUUUGGUCUAUUCGGAUCUGUACAAUUGGGGAUCUAUCGUGUCACUCACAAUCUCAUAACAACAUAUGUUACUCAAAGGAUAGGCCGAAUCAUUAAUUAACAGGAGUUGAUGACACGAACAGAAAUAUUUCAUAUCAUUUAAAGAUGUGAUUUUGUGACCAUAAGAUAAAGAAAUAAAAAUAAGAGCUACUCUUUAAUUCUUCUCUUAAAUUAGUCAAGAAAGGCAAUAGGUCUGGGAUGGAUCGUCUCAGACCAAGGAACAUCGCCUCUUCAGGGAUCACAAUUUCAGACUCAUGUCCAGUUGGCUAUCGUGACGAAAGUUCUAGAGGUUUGGGCAGCACUAAGACACACCAUUCACCUUGGUUUCACAAAGAUCUGGCUUCGAUCAGAUUCAUUGGGACUCAUCAGAGCCAUCGUUUCGGUUAUCAAACCAAAGAAUCUCCAUGGAAUUUCUCUUGGAUAUCGAAAUCCUAUCGUCCUUCUUCAAUUUCUGUUUUUUUUCUACACUCCAAGAGAGGUAAAUGGAUUUGCGGACUUUGUAGUAAAAGCUUCUUUAUGUAAUAUGCAUUUCUCAUGGGCAUGAGCCUAGGUUUUUCUCCUUUUAAGUUUAUGAAAUAUGGUUGAUCAAAAAACAAAACAAAAAUUGGUCAAGAAAAAAGUAGUGUUCGAAGUUUGACAUUUCUGAAAUUUAACUGCACGAAAAUGUUAAAGAAUAUAUACGAAUUGUCAGAAAAUAUGUGUUCAAAUGGUUGAUAAAACAAAGUGGUGUUAACAAAUAUACUCUCAGUAUUAUUUAAGAAUUUCAAUGCAAUUUUGGGUUUAAUAUUAAUUAUAAACAUAUUGAUUUUAUAAAUAAUUUUAUUUAUCUCAAAUACUAUUGGUUUUAAUAGAUGUAAUUAAUAAGAAAAUAAGUACAUUUCAAUCAUUUUUUGUGAAAAAUGUUAAACUAAUUAACGCUCUUUACUAAAUACAUACAAUAUUAUUUUAUGAAUGUUUCUGAUUAUAUAUAGAUUGGCUACACUGUGCAUAACCACCACAUUAACUAUGACAACUCGUAAAAUUUAGAGACUAUAUGAUGAUUUAGAAUAAUAAUCAUCAUAAUUAUCUAGGUAGUCAGUGUCAUACCAUUACAAAGAUUCAUAAUUAGAGUGGGUGACUAUAAUUUUGUAUUGCUGAUUCCAUACUGAAUCAGACAUGGUCCAAUCAUUUGAGGGUUUGGCAUUUCCUUUAGUAAACUUUUAAGCAAUCUGCCGCAUACCAUUUUUAUACAAAAUUCUAUUGAUCCAUAGAAAUCAGUUUUAGCAUUAAAACUGAAUUGUUUACUGAAACCUGGAUAGAAUGUAACGCUUUGAUUACAUGAAUUUCGUUAUAAACUCUCACUGAAACCCAAUAUAGAUUCAAGUGGACAAUCCCGUGAUGAUUAUCAAGUACAUAUGUGAUCAAAUACUGAUAAGAACUCAUCAAAUUAAAUGCUUGACUUUUUGAUAAUCAAACAAUGGGUAACUAAAAUUAACAAGUCGUUAAACACUCACAAGAACCAAAUAGAUGCUUUUAUAAAUGCUAUGAAAUUUUUAUUAGUAUAUCUUUUGUCAACACUUAUAUAAUAUUCUAUCAAAAUACUACUAUAUUUAGGGAGGCCGGAAAAAGAAAAAGGAUGGUAAGAAAUGUCAAUAGCGAUAUGAGAUCAAUGAUUAUGAUGAGCACAUGGCUUCAGAAAAGGCCAUGUGACUCAAUGACUCCCUUUUUUUUGUCCCCAUUUCUUCAGGGCUCUUAUCUAUUCAUAAAUAAUGACCAUACUACAUAUUUAAUGGUUCGGAUUUUAAAAUAGUUCAUUAGGAUGACUAAUGUAAGAACAGAGUUUAACAUUCUAUUAUUCAGUAUCGGAGUAUUGUUCUAAUCAUUUGCAUUUCUCAAUAAUUAGAAUGUAUUUUCUUGUAUUUUAAUAUUUUGUUUCGUCCGCUUGUCUCCAAGCCAACGCUUUCCGCGUACGUAUGGACCGUGGACGUAGACUAAUCGUCCGCAGUUGAAGACAUUAUAAGAAUAUAGUAAAGAAGACUAAAUUUAAUGAGCUUGAUUGCAAACUGAUUAACCGAAUUAUAAAUGGCUAACCUAUUGAGAUAGAGUAUCUUAAGUUAUCGUAUCAAGAUGUCGUUAGAUCCUUUAAUUUAGGCAAUUGGAUUUUGUUAAUUCUUCGUGCAUCAUGGUGAUAAAUAAGCAAUAUAAUGAUCGGACAUUGGUAACUUUAAUGGAAUGAACAUAAGCCUUCUGUUUUAUCUUCUUAAAAAAGUCGUUUCUUCUUCUGUUUUUUUCAUCAAUUUUUUUUUGUAUUUUGGUAAAAAAAAAAGAUGGUUUCACCUCUUUGCCGAGAACACAAACAUUGUAAAUAGUUCCUCCCACCGUGAAUUGAAUUUGGGUGGCGGUAGUUACAGCCGUAACUCCUUUAUCACUAGGCCAACUCAACGUUAGUAAAAAAAAAUGCUAAGGCCAUUCUUGGAUUUUGCAUCAUCAUUCAGUAAUCAGCUAUGUUGGUUGACUAUGGGUUUGGUUAACUAAAUUGAAUUAAGUAAAUCUAUAGAUAUCUUAUUAUUAUUAGCAAAAAAAACAUAUGUUUUGGAAAUGAGAUCGUGAAAUAGAGGAAGAUACAAAGAAUUACUAAAGACGUUUGUAAGUUGAUGUUUUUACCGUAUAUGGAAAACUUUGAGAACACCAACCUUCAAUUCUCCUCUAACGGCAUGGAAAAAUAUGAUAUAUGUUUCGGUCGUCUCGUGAAACAUUGGAUUCUGCUAAUGGGCUAAUUAAUAAGAAGAGCUGCAAUGUGUGACGGUAUAUUUCAGCAGCGUGAGGAGAAUUAGUACGAAGAUCAUAGGUGAUAUAGAUAUAUGAGUAAACAGUCUAGUGACUAGUAGCAAAACAUAGCAAAAUUAUUUUUAAAAAGUUGAAAAUAUAAAAUAUUAUUGAUGAAGUCUUAAAUUCACUUAAUAUUUGGUUUCAUAGUUGCAAACCCGCGAAAAUGAAUGAAGAAAUGUUAUUUGCUAUUGUUGAUUUACUAUUGAAAGUGCGAUUCUUACAAGUUUGAUGAAGCAGAAGCUCCUUUGGUAAAACUGGGACAAUAUAAAAAAACCUCUGACCAAAAGAAAUACUCUUUAGUUCGUUGAAAUGUUGUGACUCUUUAUCAUGAUCAACUGAGAGAAUGUAAGUUUUGAUUAGCGACCCGCAAAAGAUGGAAAUAUCUAUAGUAUUAUGAAAGAUAUAAUCAUAUAAACACCAUUCCAAAAACAAAAACAAAUAUCUAUGAGAACAAGCUUCUUUCACUUUCACCAUUUCACUCUACCCUUUCAUUCUGAAUAUUUCGUCUCGCUUUUCUAAUAUGGUUAUUUUGUGAGUGAUCACCAGCUAAAGAAAAAAUAAUAUUGUUCAAAUUUUUUUUAAAGAAAUUAGGAGCAUACAGCCAAAUUAAACUACGGGCUUCUGAAAAACUGGUGGCGCGAAAAUGACCGGUGCAUCGUAGAUCGGAGGGCUGACGGUGAAGGGCAUGUUAGUGAUGAACGUUCGAGAUACGACCCAUGAAUGCAGGGGUGUUGUCAGACAAGGCUCACAUGGACGAACGUGACCUUUAUGUGAUUUACCACGUCAGCCACUGUCUCUAAUCCAAAACCAAAAUGGUUUCCGAUUAUUGGAUCUGGAACCGGUUCCGAUGAUGUCCUACUACGACACCGUACUUUUUGUCUGAAAAUAAUUAAGUUCACAUUAGUGUUAAUUUUGUGAGGCAGCAAUAAUUGGUGGGGAAAUGGGCGGGGCCCAUUAAUCCAUUGUCCGCACCCCUUACUCAUUAAUCAUUCAACAAAGGAAAUUUCGGAAAACAUAAUUCGAGAUUAUUAAAUAGACCGACAAAAGUAAAUGCUUAUGAUUUUGUAUUUGAAAGCUGUAUAAUGUUUCCAAGUUUUCUAAAUCUAACCAGAGAUGGUGCGAAAGUAAAAGAAACGAAAGAUGGAGAGACGUGAUCAGAAACUAAGUAAACAGCCAUUACCGAUAAUAUACACGUAGCAAAAGAAGAAAACAAGGAAGUUGUGACAGAAUGUAUAUACGUCGCAAUGGUUUGUGAAGUUCGUUGAACUAUAAAAAGACUGUAAAUGUUUUAAAGGUGUUGUAAAAGCGGAGAAGGUUUAUCCUAAGACGUUGCGGUGUACAGUUAACAUCCGAUGGAGUUAUUUAUUCGUUCAUGUGACAUUUAACCCCAUAUAACAUUCAGCGAACGUUUCAUACAUCAUGAAAUUAUUAUUUUUAAAUUAAUAAAUCAUAUAACAGAAUGUAUAAAUUUGAAUAAUAGAAUAGCCUCGCUGUUAAAAAAAACAAGAUGUCUAAAACUAAAACGCAUAAAACUAAUGUCCUUUAAUUACAACAAAAUAAAAGAUUUACCUACAACUAAGUCUAGAACCAUAUUCAACUCGAAAAGCCCUAGUUCCUUCUCUAGCACGACUAUUGAGGAGUUAAACCUGAUUUCAUUCUUCAAGGCUGGUGACACAUAUAUUUGUCGGCAUCUCUUUUGUCCUCCUCUUGUGUGUUUUCCCUCAGUGUUCUGCUCAUGUUUCUGUUCUAUGCAUUAGUUCUCUUAACUGUUGUGCUCUGUUUUGGAUUUUAGCAUCUACUAAGACUUUAGUCAUCUCAAAGAUUGGUUUAAGACCAUCAGAGCGAGAUUUUCUCUGAGGAAUUUUGUAUUUCGUUAACUUUUAAAUUUAUUCCUUUGAAUUAAUGGUUUAAUUUUAUAAUUCUCUGAAAACUUUUUUUUUUUUUUGACGUCGAAAGGCUAUUCUAUUACUCAAACUUGAGGUGGUCUGGGUAACCAAACCGGAAUAGAACAACCAAUAAAACAUAACUCCCUAUGGAAGGAUCUAGCAGUCUUAGCCAAAAAAUCAGCCGUCUGGUUACGUGCCCGUGGGAAAAAAGUAAUAUCAAAAAUAAAAUUGAUCAAAAUAAUAUUAUAGUUUCAUUGUCAAAAUACAUAUAUGCACGCAAUAAGUAUAUAAUAUUAUACUUUCAUUGUUAAAAUUUGUAAAUACGAAGGAAAGUUAGAGAUUGUGUAUAUAGAUUAAUCUUUUAUGUAACUCAAAUAGAAAGAUAGAUAAAAUUAUAAUUAAUGUUUUUUAUAACAGUGUAAUAUUGGUUAAUACACAUCAAAAAUUAUAUAUUGUUUUAAAACUAUGAUUAAUAAAUAAUAUAAAUAUGUUUAUAAACAUACUUAUACAUUUACAUAUACAAACAAAGAUAUAUCUAAAUAUUAGUUAUUUUAAUGGUAUAAAUUUAUAUUAAAUUAAUAUGAAAUUAGUAAAGCAUACUUUGAAUACGAUUUCAUAGAAAAUGUAUAUAAACCAUUUAUAUUUUGUCAAUUCAUUUUUAAUUUUAUUAUUGAAAUUAGAAUAAAAUGAAACGAACUAUUAAUAUAAAUUCGCAGUAGUGCGAAUUGAAAAUCUAGUUAAAUUUUUAGCAAUUGCUAAACCAAACUUUAUAUAUCAAUAAUAAAAUUAUAAGAAUUACUACUUGAAUAUUUAUGAAAAUGAUAAUAAAGUGAAUAGUUCGCGAAUGAUGUGAUUGUAUUUUUCAAAAGUUAAUGCAAUUUAAAUGGCAUGUUUGUUGGGUUCAUAGAUUUUUACCGUGGAUAUACAAUCAGCCACCCAAUUACAUUUAUAUUUUACAAUUUAAUGAUUUUAUACUGUCUUAACCACUUCACCGAAGCUUUUUACUGUGCAUAAACUGUCCAAUAUCAUACACAAGUGAAGAGUUUGUGGUAGGUUGUUAUGGUAGCUUGCAACGUGGAGUGGUUUCUCUACUCUUGUGUUUUGAGGUUCAAGGGCAUCAACUUAUCUAUUGUUAAGAAUAAGCUUCAAAUCGUAAGAUAAGGCAGUAUAAGAGAGAUUAUUGAUUGCAUGAGUCACAAGAAUCAAACCACAAGGAAAUCUUCCGUCGGAAAGAGAAAAAAAAUACAAAACAUAGUUUAGGUCUCUCUUAAAAAGACCCAACCAUGAAAAACAACGUAGAAGAAGAACUCAGUUAAAGCAACAUGUAAACCUUCUAGAUUGCCAUCAUAUGUUGCAUUAAUGAUUGCUUUCAUCUUCAAAAAUGAACUAAGGAAAUGUGUUAAGAAGAUGGUGAAGAAAAUAAGAAACCAGAUCUGAAACAGAGGCGGCAAGUCUGAAGCAAGAUCCAUAGACUCAGAAAAAGAUAUAGCAAGUUCAAUCCUAUACAAAUACUACCAUUACACAAUAAAAACAAACAGACACCACCAUACCAACAAAUGUCUGUGAUUUUUGAAGCAAAGAUCUAAACCAAGUUUCGACAAAAAAAAAUGUUUACAUCAUAUAUAUCUUAACUCAGAUACAUAAAUAACCUCAUGAAAAGAAACUAAAAAUAAGGAAAUAGAAACUUAAGAACCACAUAUCGAAGGAGCUUCGCUUGAAAGACUUUGGAGAAAUUAUGCAAGCACGAGGAAGGAAGCGCAGUGACUCACUCUAGCCCUGUCCCAGCCUUUUAUACAUCUCAAAACAAAUCAGGGAUCACCACAAAAACUCACGGAGGGAAUAGGAAUGAUAAAAUAACUUUUACAUAGUAUAGCUCAAUGUAGCCAAUCUUAGUAGUCUUCAAGUAAUUCAUUUUACCAACUAUAAUUAAUUCAAGAAACUAUAUCUAAACUACAAUAAAGGAGAAAAAGAGUUCCCAUCCUAACAUAUUUCCUGGGUCAAAUAUUUAUGUAUUCGGGAAUACUAAUCCAUUUUACUCGAAGGCAGGAAUGGAGCCGAGUCUGUAUAAGAGUUCUAGGCAAGAAUUGAAUGCCGGCAUGUUCGGAAGCAUGAAUAAUAACUUCAUGCCUUCCUGGAUUAUUUAUUUUCAAAAAUUCUAAUUUUUUAUAUACUUUUAGUAUUUUACUUCACUGGUUUUAGAAUAAACAUAAAAUUAGUCAUUUGAAAUUUGGCUUUUCUUUUAUAUUUCAAUUUCUUAGAAUAUAACAUUAUAAUAUAUUUAGGUUUAUUUGAUUUAUUUGAUUUAUUUGAUUUAUUUUGCUUAAAACACUCCAUCAUGAUAAAAAAAUGAUUUCUUUAUUAUUUUAACAAAAAGGUCAUCAAUAGCUAUGAGAUAAGUUGUUGACAAAAAAAAAGAAGCUAUGAGAUAAGUUAUAUAUUUAUAUAGAUUAAUAUAUCUAGAUAUAAUUAAAAAAAUCCUAAUAUAAAUUUAAGAAAUAUUUGUUUAUUGGAUUUCUUUUUGUUUAGAUACAACAAAUCGAUAAAUUUUUGAUUUAUUUUUCUAGCCUAACAAAAUCAUCGUCAUUCACUUAAUGAACUUUAAUCAUCAAUUUAUAACAACUAUCAAAUAUAAGUACAAUUUCUAAUAUUUAAACUCACAAAAUUUUAUAUUUAAUCAUCAAUUUAUAACAAACAUCAAUUUUGUAUUUUACUAAAAAAAGUAUUAAUGGUGAUAUAUCUUAAUAUAAACGAAAUAUAGUUAAUAGUGUUAUUAUUCUAUCUAUAAAUCUUAUCAAACUAUAAAUUUGUAUGAAUGUUAUUGUACAUGUUGUAAUUACUUUCAAGCCAUGUCAGUUUUUUUUUAAUAAACUGUUAUAGUUUUUAAGUAAGCAACAUUAAUUUUUUCUUGAAAAAUUAAUCAAUUUGUAAAAUUCACUUGGCAAAUAAUAAUGUUGCAUUACCAAAUAAGUAGCUAGUUUCGGACAAACAUGGUCUUGCUAAGAAAGAGUGAAGACUUUUCCAUUUUGCCACACUCUUCAUCCGCCAAAGCCGGGCAUGAUGCGGCGACUAUCGCCUUCUCAGAUGUCCGGAGCCGGACUUGGGAUCGCUGCAAUAUCAUACGUGGCGGUCGAUUACAUGAGAUACGUGUCACCGUGGGGGCAUUCUCGUCUUCAGCCAGUUCUCUGGUCGGUCCUGGUUCUCGCCGUCGUUACGCGUGUCCCUUUCUACAAGCACUGGUCUAAAGAGCUACGAGCAGCGAUCCCUUUCCUCGCUUCUAUCUUCUUUUUGCUUGGAGCUCUUCUCUUCGAAGCUCUUUGUGUUCGCUCUGUCACCGCCGUUCUUGGCUUAGAUUGGCACCGGUAAAACUAGAUCUGCGUCGAUCUUACCUCGAAAGUUGAUAGUUAUGAGUGUUGACCUUGUUGAUGUUUCUGGAUCUGAUUUGAGUAGAACAUGUGUUUGACUUGAGUAUCAUAGAUUUACAGUAAUCUUUGGUUGAAUGUUUAUCAUUAUGAGCAUUAUUUAGUCGGAAUCUUUAAGUUUCUAGUCAUUUAUUCAAUUUAUGGUGGAAAUAAGUGUAGCUCAUCGUUAUUACAGUAAUCUUUUCUUGGACGGUUAGUGCAUUUCUGUAACUAUAUUAACUACAUAAACUAGAAAUAUUUAAGUUUAUUUUCAUUUAUUCAAUUAAUUAAACAAUCAAGUGAAAAUUGAAUAUAGAAAUUACAGUAAUCUUUGGUUAUGUAUUUCUGUGACUUUAUUACCAAUUUGAGUCUUUUAUAAGUUACUAUUCUUACAUUCAGUUGAAACGUUAACAUUACAGUAAUCUUUUAUUAAUGUUUAUAUUAUAUAUUUCUGUAACUAUAUAUUAUAUCAGUAUGAAAAAUAAUAGAAGUGGUAAUCUUUGACAGGGAUACGUCUCCACUUCCUGACACAGGCCAAUGGUUCCUACUUGCACUAAACGAGAGCCUUCCCGAGACAAUUGUGGAAAUCCUGAGAGCUCAUAUCAUAGGAUUGCACCAUUUUCUUAUGCUGUUUGUAAUGCUGGGUUUCUCGGUAGUGUUCGACUCAGUGAAAGCUCCGGGUCUAGGAUUAGGGGCACGAUACAUUUUCACCAUGGGACUGGGCCGUCUCUUAAGAGCUAUAACCUUCGUUUCUACCAUCUUACCUUCAGCUAGACCUUGGUGCGCUUCAGCCCGAUUCAACAACGUCCCUUCUCAUCCUCAUCGUUGGGCUCAGAAGUAUUAUGUCCCUUAUGCUAAAGACCCUUCUGCUAUUCGCCAGCUCCUCCAUUGGGAUGCUGCUUAC